Molecule: long non-coding RNA, 494 nt
Organism: Dioscorea cayenensis subsp. rotundata (Guinea yam)
Lineage: Eukaryota; Viridiplantae; Streptophyta; Magnoliopsida; Dioscoreales; Dioscoreaceae
Exons: 3
Source: RefSeq, a predicted model, not a curated record
AUAUCAACACAUGUGGAAGAUUGAAGAUGAUUCCAGAAGGACUGAAGAAUGUGCCACUUGAUCAAUUGAAGUUAUUAAGUAUGCCUGAAGAAUUCAUGACUAGGAUUAAGGAGAAUACAGGAGAAGACUAGUAUAAGAUACAACAUGUGCCCAACAUCUCCAUUUAUUAAUAAUAUUAACUUAUGCAGCGGCACAAUGGAUAAAUAUUCAAUUGUUAGGCUAAUGUUAGCUGCCUUCAAAGUGGUUCCUGUUAAGGAGAUGCACAAGCUUAAGGAGUCUAUUGCUGCGGUUCGGCGUUGUAUCCAGUUUUCAAGCCUCCCACGCGAGGAGCCGGAUCCCAACAGGCACGAUGAGUUUUCCUGCUAGUUGUCCUCCUUUUUGCUGAUGUGUCUUAGAGGAGUCCCUCUCUCCUCCUCCCUGUGUCUCAGUGUGUUGUCUCGUCUCUUAGUGUUUGUUUCCCCUGUUGUGUGCUUUUGUUUCCACUUCUAGUGGAG